Molecule: long non-coding RNA, 9831 nt
Organism: Mustela lutreola (European mink)
Lineage: Eukaryota; Metazoa; Chordata; Mammalia; Carnivora; Mustelidae
Exons: 3
Source: RefSeq, a predicted model, not a curated record
AAUGUACAGUGGUAUUAAAAUAGCAUAUGUGUAUAUGGUAAAUUUGACCAUUCUGCUGUGUUUCAACAAAGUUGGUUAACUAAAGAGUAAUGACUAACUGAUAUUACCGUCCUAAAAAUGACUAGUGUUCUGUAGGGUAAUCUGCUGGGUGAAAGGCUUAAAAAUCACAAAAUAUGCAGAGAAGUGGCAUAGAAAAGAAAGAGUAGAAUAUGCAUUAUUAAAAGAAUAAUUUGAAAAUUACAAAAUUCUUACAGUAGGUAUACAAUUAGAGUGGCAUUUUUUUUUUAAUAUUUUAUUUAUUCGCUAUAGAGAUAGAUGGAGAGAGAGAGUGUGAGCAGGGGGAGGAGCAGAGGAAGAGGGACAAGCAGACUCCAUGCUGAGCACAGAGCCCCAUGCAGGGCUCCAUCUGAGGACCCUAAGAUCAUGACCUGAGCUGAAACCAAGAGUUGGACACUUAACUGACUGCGCCACUCAGGUGCCCCUAGAGUGGUAUGUUUUAAUGUGUUGUUUAUCCUAGGAUGCCUAAAAUUCGUGACCACCAUAUAGUAGAAGCCGCUAAGGGGUAAUUCUUUGAUUCUGUCCUUAUUAGUUACAAAGCGCUUCUCAGUUGAAAUGUUUGGAAGCACAGCCCGUUUCAUACUCAUUUUCUCUCCCAGCCCUGCACUAAGUUGACCUCAGUAAGGAAGGCAGGGAGCUGAAUGGUUUUCCAUUAAGUUUUUUCAGUUCAUUACACCAGAUUUUAAGUUAAUUUGGUUUUGUGUCAGUUUUUAACUGGUUUUGUGUCAUCACAUUUCUACUUUAAAUUGACAAAAGAACAGUUUUGCUUGGAAUCUACAUUCUAGGUAGUUUUCCUAGGAGUGCAUUACGUUAUUAGAUGGACUUGGAACAGAUUCUGGAAACAUGGAGCCUGAGAUUGUCUUUCCUCCACUUGGCCGCUAGGAUCUACAGACUGCUGGGCACAGGCAUUUCCCCCAGUGAGUCUCUUGUGUUUAGUUCAACUUGCAUCUGUUUCUUGGAGGACCUGAACUGAUAAAAUCUGCUGUGAUGCAAUGAGGGGGAAAAAUCACUUCUAUGAUAUUUCUGCCAAAAAAUACAUGAUCUGAAUCUCUUCAUGAGGAAACACCAGACAAAUCCAACCGAGGUACCUUGUAAAAACAAAUGGCCUCUAGUCCCCAAAACUGUCAAGAUAUGAUUUAAAAAAGACUGAAAACUGUUCCAGGUUGAAGGAGAUGAGAUAGCUAAAUGCAUAUGUGAUCCUGUAUUGAAUUGUUACAAAGGACAUCAUUAAGAUAAGUGGAAAACUGGUUCUUUUUAUUAGAUGGUGAUCACCAUCUUGAUGGCACAAGACGAAAUGCUCACCGGGGAAUUCGGGGAUAAUGAAUGGAUCAUCACGUUUGAGACUGGGUUCAGAAGAUAAAGGUCUUUGCACUAUUUCUGCAACUUGCCUAUAGAUUUGAAAUUCUUAUCUUUCAAGAAAUAAAUGUGGAAUAUGGAGAAUGGACUCAGGAGCUAAGAAGGAAAGUCACAAAUUGGAAGGCUGUUGAAGAUGUCCAGCUAACCAUGAGUGGGCCAGCAGGUUUGCAUAAUUCCCCGACGAUUAAUCCAGAUUGCCAAUAAUUAGAAAGAAUUCAGCUUUACUGGUAAUUAAGGAAACAUAAAUGAAGAUGAUGAUGAUGAUACUGUUCUGUUAAACCAACAAAGCUUAAAAAGCACAAAAAGAAAAACAUCCAAUGUAUGCAAAAUUGGAAGAAAAUGGAUGCUUUCAUAAAAACAGUAACAGCUAAUAUUGAUUGCCUAUUACGUGCUUUGCAAGAUUCUAAGCAUUUUACCUAUGUCAAUUUAAGCACAACUCUGUGAGGUAAGUGGUACUAUUAUCUCCAUUUUAUAGAUGAGCAAGCCAAGCUUUGAGAGGUUAAAGUAAUUUGUCCAGUCAUAGAAUACGAGUAAAUGGCAGGGAUAAGACUCAAAGGUUUAUUUCCUAGUUUGUUUUUUAAUAACAGACAUGCAUUAUUUGUAACAUCAAAAAUCCAUUCGUCCACAAUUAAAAUGAUGCUCCCCUAAGGUAGCAACCAAAUAUUCUGGCAUCAUAAUUAUCUCAAUACUCCCAUGUCAUCUCCCAACCAAUCCAAAUUGGUGUUAUAGCUACUUAAAAUUGUGUGUAAGUUAUUUCUAUAUUAUCUAUAAUUAAAAAAAAUUUUCCUUUUGAUCAUGUCCAAAGCCCUGAAAACAUGACUAUCAAUAUCUAAUAAAAUUUAUAAAGUAAAAUAUAUUAUCAUCUUACUGUAUUUCCUAAGUUCCAUGCUAUCUGAGGCAUCUUACAGUAAAACCAAGUUUAUAAAACUUAUUUUUUGAAAAGCAGUCGUUUAUUUUAGAUCUAUAGAUUCAGAUUUUUUUAAGUGAGAAAAUAAGUCAACUGUCCUGAAGGUAUCAUCCUCCCAAAAGUGUUUUGAAAUGGCAGCGUUUUUUGUGGAACCAGAAUCCGUAUUAACUACAAAUAGUUUCUAAACUAUUAAAAGUAUUACAAUUAUCUACAUGAUUUCUGAGGAUGGCAAAUGACAGAUAGAUUAUGUUAAUGAACUAAAUAUCUGCCUACAUUUGAAAUAAAAUUGCUAUUAAAUUUGUUAUUUUCCUCCGAUAACAGAAAUUAGUGAAAGACUACGUUCUUCACUGAGCUUCUGCCGUUACGGUUCAUUUGUUUCAUUCUAAAAGCGUUAUUUUCUUUCCAGUUUUAAAACUUUUAGGUAUAUAUAUUUAUCAGGGGAGGAAGAAAAUUACAUACAUGAAUGACUUAACAUUACUCAGUUAAAAAGAAAUUCUUAAAAAAAAAAAAAGAAAAAUUCCUUAUUUUCCUAAACUUAAAAAUACUAUUUCAUGAUUAUUGUGGCUUGUCUUUAAGUUGUGAUUAAAAUUAUGACAAAACAUUUUGUUUCCAGGUAAAAGUGUUGCAGAUACGAGCUGAAUAUUACUGUCAUCAUUAACCAUAUAACUGGGCAGUUAUACUGACAAUGCAGCCCAUAUGAACCCAUCAAAAAAAAAAAAAAAAGCCACUGAAAUGUUUGUGACUCAGAGCACAUUUGAACAAUUCCUAUUUAACAUGUCAUGUGACACACCUCUUCAGAGAGUAACUUAUUACUGUUACUCAAAAUAAUGACAAUAAAUGUAUCCUAGUAUUUUGACCCUAGUGCCAUUAUGAAUUAAUGUUGAAUAUCUGUUCAUCUUGGAUUUUCUUUUUUGUGCUUCUUGGGAUUUUGAUUAUCCCACAGUAGAAUCCUUAUGUAAUUUUGUAGAAAGAUUUCUUUGUAGCAAAUUCUUCAUAGAGAAAAUACAGAGGACUCAAAAUAAUUCUCAACAGAUUUCAGAUAUGGAUUAUAUGUUCUAAUUUUACCUAGUGGGAAAUAGAGUACUAACUAAAUUUGCCCUUCACCCACAGAACAUAUGAAUUGACUAAAUGAGAUGCUAAUUACAUGAAUAAGGUAGAGACAAAGUCUGAGAAUAAAUUCCUAUUUAAGUACUAUAUUGACAAGUAUCUGUUCAUAUAUUACAGCCCUUUUCAAGAUAAGUAAAUUUACUUCUCGACUUCAUUAAAUUCACAUUCGAAUUUAUAAAUUUCUCACAUUAUUAUAUUGCAAAGCCCAAAUUAUCUUAGAUUCUUAAUAAGAAAAUAGGGGUAUGGCGAAAAGAACUAAUUUAAAUGAUUAUUUGCUUUUAUGUAGUGAAUAGAUUCAAUUCUGAAAUAGGGACCUGUGCUGUAAAUCCUAUAAAUUAAAUCCUGUUUGCUCAUUGAACUCUAGUCUGUAUGUGGAAUUAUUCUUUGGGAAAAUGUAUGCCACAAUCUAGUUUAGCUCUGAUACUGCUCUUUGGAGCAGAGCAGGGACAUUUUCAUAAUAACAAUGUAGCCUUUUCUCCAGUGACCCACCCAGCUCCUGGGAAGUUCCUGUACUUUAUUCGUGUGACCUGGCUUCCUCCUAUUUGGAUAGUCCAAGGGUCUGAGUAGAAAAUAACGGCUGACAGGUUUUGAGCUCCUACUGUCAGGCAUGAUUCUAAUAAGCACUUUACAGGGAUAAUGGAAACCUGUGAGGUAGAAUUUAUUAGCUCUUUUGUAGAUGGUGAAACUGACGAACACAGAGCUCUUCCGAGGAAGGGCUUGAGAACAUGGUUUGAUUCCAGAGCUGUGAUUAGGGCCAACAAUAUACUAUAUUGCCUUCUUAUUUUCUAGACUAGAGCUUCUCAGUCAUGGAUGGGUUCUAGGUGAGCUCAGGCAUGGAUCCUCUCAGCCCAUGGGCUUGCCAGAUGGGAGCAGUAGCCCAACUCACCUGUCUCUUCCCAUGGUUGUGAGCAGCUUCAUUCACUUAGAAGUGGAGGGUCUCCACCAAGAUGAUUGUUUUCUUUAUAUGCCAUGGUGUGAAAGUAUCUGACAAACACAUUGCCCUAGAACAAAGUACACAUUUAGAGGUAAAUAUAUGAACUGUGUUUCCUAACUUGCAACUGACUUUAAAAUAAAUGUUCAGAUUCUGUUAUCUUUUGACAGGAAAUAACAUGUAUACCUUACAUAAUUCUACUUUAUGUUACUUCUUAAUCAACUAUUACAAAUGAAAAAAGGAUUGAGAACAAAAGCUGAUCAUUUUUCUCAUUGAUAUUUUGUUACAAUUCAUAUUAAUUGUUCUUCCCUGUACAUUAGGCAACAUUGACCCUGACUAGUUACCAUGAAGUCUUAACAUCAUUAGAACUGCCAUUAUUUAAUUAUUAUUGGUAAAUCAUUUUUGACUGUUUAUUUGGGCUGCCUGCUUCCCAAUUAAUUGAAUUGGCAAAUAUUUCACCUUGAAUUUCAAUGUACCACAAAGCACAUCAGAGUACAUAAGGUUAAUAAGGGAGUGCUCUCUGAAGAGGGACAUCUGCAGGUUUAAAAUAUAUAUAUAUGAUGGAGGAACUAGGUAUACUCUUGAAUAUCAGCUCUUGUGCAGCACUGAAGUGACUUUGGAGACUUCACAUCUUCAGUACCAGAACGAAAUAAAGACAAAACAGUUGAGAGUUCCUGGGCAUCUUAGAAAGAGCUCAGAAUGAACCCACUGGUAACCCAGCUGGCUUCAAUAAAAGUGUAGACACAAACACUUGCACUCAUAUGCGUUCAUUGUGUUUAAAGUGAUUUGUUCACAAUCCAUUAAUCAUGGAAGCUCAUCUGAAAGUAUGGUUUGUAGACCAGAAACCCGAUUUUACCUCAAUAGAAGUUUUCAGGUAAAGAUAAACAUGUUGCAGAUAAGUCAAAGAGGGGAAAAAAAUAAUCUUUUUUUGACUGCAAUAAGCCAGAGAAUGAUGGCCCACUUAUAACACAUCCAGUCCUGUUUAGUAUCUUGGUGGGGUCCAUCUUUGGAUCUUGGACCAUUUGCAUCUGGUCUGGAUAACAGAUUCCAUAUGAAAUACCAGGGAGGAAAAAGCAAAGGUGACUUUGAAGUUCUAAGCCUCACUAACUCAGUGACAAUGGGUCACUGGAAAGUAUCACCAAGAAGAGGAGCUGGUUGGGUGUGUAUGGGCUGGAGAAGAUGAUGAAUUCUUUGGAGCACGUAGAUCUGAAGGAACCAGGAGGAGAUUCAAGUGGCAAUUUCAUGAAAGCAAUUGAAAAUGUUUGCCUGGGAUCAUGUGGAAAGAUUAGGAGUAGAACUUUUGAGCUGGGAGACAUCUACUCAUAAUCUUAGGGGUGAAAGAGACCUUUUCUCCAAGAAAGAAAGGAUAAUGAGCUAAAGAGCUUCAUCCCAUUGCUGGGAUAACCAGUUUCUCAGGAGGAGAAAGGCUGAAGGCGAAGGCUGACAAGGCCACACUGGCCGCCUUGAUUUUCCCCACCCCACCAAACGUAGGCCCCUUUCAACCUCAGCCUGGAACGCUCUUUGUUCCCACAGAGUUAGAAGUGCUUUCUUUGUGCUCCCAGAAUACUCUGUUUCUGAUGCUACAUUCAACCACAGACUAUGACAGUUAACUGUUCAGCUUCCUGUCUCACCUGUGACACAGGAAAUAUUCAUUGAAUGAAUGAACCGGUUAUAUGGAAUGGAGACUGGGCUCAGGCCACAUUUCAGUACUCGAGAUCUUGGCAUUCUCAUAAAUUGGUCAGAUGGUGUGUUAUUUCAAGGAAAAUAAAACUGAAUGCUCAUUGUGUGUCAGCCAUUCCCAAAAUAAAGGCCAGACAUUUAAAAACAACAUCAAACAGGACUCUCCAUUUCUUGGCUCUGGUUUUUUAGGUACUUAUCCUCAGUCAGGCUUUCCCUAAGUAACAGCAAAGUCAAUAUUCACUCCUCUGAAAUCACUCUGGCCCUCCUGAGGUCACUUGCAUACCCCUGUGAGUCUAGAGCAAGUGGAGCCCUUGAUGGACCUCCCAGGGGAGGGGUGGGGCAGUUUUGAAAGCAGGGUCUGAUAUGGGGGCAGAAACAAUACAACGUAACAGAAGUCCGUGGUAGAAACCAUACAAAGGCCAUCAAGUGAAACAACAAUAGGGGAGCAGAAGGGAAAGGAAGUAAAUACAUUCUCCUCCCUUCCUCUGUCUUACUGUCAAAAUUACAGUCUGUCAGGAGAAGGACCCUGAGCCCCCAGGACUGCCUUUGCCUUGUAGAUGAAGGAGAGUUAGAAAAGCACCAGCUGUCAAUAAAGCCACUUGUUGGCAUUAGAACAUUGAGCCUUAGUGUUUGUUUUUAUUUAAAUCUUGCCUUUGGUUUGAUGUGAAAAAUAUAAAUAUGAAAAUCUCACAUAAACUUUAAAACGACCUCUCAAGUUCUAAAUAUAUAUUAUAUAAAAACUAAUAUAUUUAUAAUGUUAGAGAAGGAUGAUGUAAACUUUUGUAUUUCAUUCUCUUUGGUACUUUCCUUAGAGGUUAAAUGGGAGAAUGCACAUGAAAAACACUGAGCACUUGCCCAGCACAAGUCAAAACUGGUAGGUAUUCUUGACAUGAUUGUUGUGGCUUAAGGAUUUUUUUUUUUUUUUUUUUUGAUGGUAAAACAUGUAUAACACGAAAUGUGCCACUUUACCCACUUUCUAAGCACGCAGUUAAGUGGCAGUAAAUAUAGUCACUCUGCUGGGCAACUGUUAUCACCCUCCAUCUUGAAACCUUCUUAAUCUUCCCACACUGAAAUUGUACCCAUUAAACAAUAACUUCCCGUUUCUCUCUCUCCUCCAGACUUUGAUCACCACCGCCCUCCUCCCUCUCCAAAUUUGCCUAUCCUACGUACAUCAUGUAAAUGGAAUCAUGCAUCUGUCCUUCUGUGUCUGGCUUAUUAAAAAAAAUAGUAAAAGCUAAAUCCACACUUUUUAGUCAUUGAUUCCUGGGGUUCCUGUACUCUACAGGUCACAUUCAAAAGGCCUCAAUUCCAUCACCCUCCUGCUAGUAUUUACUAAUUACUGGCAUCAUCUCAGUAGGAGAAAAACAAUCUCUACAGUGCAUUGUUAAUGUCCCAUCUAUUCCCCCCAGCAUCACAGAAGCAGGGCUUGCUUCAGGAAUCUGGAACUAUCUCUGGCAGGGAGCUCUAAUGCUUUGGUGCCUUAAUUGUAGCUGAGCUGAAAAGUUUCCAGCCUACGUAUUGCAGCUUCCUCGCCAUCAACCUCCUGGCUCCUCUCCCGAAGUGACUGUGAUUUUGCAGUCAGUAAGCAAAGUCGAUGGUAAUGAGACAUAAAUAUUCAUUACUAAAAAAUGAGGGCCUAAAUCAAGAGAUAAGAUUAAUUAUUCAGAAAAAGCUCUAUUUUAAAAGUUUCUCUCACAGAUGUGUAGCAAUUAUGCAACCUGUUUCUUUUUUAUCAUGCAUAUGAGUUCGUGGAGCAUUUCCCAGCCUGGCAAGUCUGCAUUCCUUACUGCACGAUGAUGCCAGUUCCUAAUUCCUGGACAAAAAAUAAGAACUGCUAAGCCUGUAACCGUCAAAUACCAAGCGGGCUGCUUCUGUAGCGACCAGUUACCCACGUGAAAUCUCUUAGGGUACACUCUUUACUCCAAGGACUUGUCCAUGCAAAUGUGGUUUUAUCAGUCAGUGGAACUUGCUAAAACUGCUCUCCGCUCCGGGAGCAGACCGUUUCUCCGUACCUCCGUGCCUUCACGCUGGGUCUUUCCGAUGCCCGUGACCCAGAUUACCACAACCACUACUACAAACAACAAAUGACACCUCGGAAUGCAAUUUCUGCCCAGUGAUCCUGGGCAAGGAAUUAUCUCUGGACAUUGGCUGUUUCCUCUGUAAAAUAAGUGAAUAUAGCCUGUGAGGCCCGAGAGCCCAGUGGCCGGUAAUCAGGAAUGCAGGUAAAUACUGGAUUUAGGAAAGAUGCACGCACGUCUGUGUUGUACUUUUCCAGCACUCUUUCUCCUUGAGACUGUUCCUCAUUUCUCUGCCAACAACCAUCUCACAGCUUCUCACUCCUGUAUUUGGGAACUGAAAUUUCCACCCCAUUUGCCCUUUGGCUAGCAAGGCCUGUCCAACCUCAGGCUCUCUGCCUAGCAUAAGCUAAGACUGCAGGCUGGAAAUCAGCACCCUUGUGAUUUAAUUACCUUUAUCUCAUCCGUACCCUUGGCAAUCAGGACUCCCAAUUGCGGCUUUGCAGAGCAAAUUUGACAGCCUCCUAUCUCUAGCUUUUAAUCUAAACAAAAUGCCAGUGACUCAGACAGACAUAUGAAAGGACACCGUGAUAAUCAAGAGAGAGGAAAAUUCUAUAAGAACAACAACAACAAACCCCCCCCCAAAAAACCAAACAAACAAAAAAACCCGUGUUCUUAUUUUAUGUUAACUCUAGGCUCUGUUAGGAAAGGUGACGCUAUGUUUGGCAUAUAAUUCUGCACUUUGAACAAAUAUGCUGGUAUUUAUUAGGUGCUCACUAUAGCCUAGGCACUGGGCUACAGAACUCCCGUAUAUUAUUUCAUUUAAACCACCCAGUAAUCCUAGAAGGUAGGUGCCAUGCAUACCCAUUCAUAGGUAUGAAAACACAAAGGCUUAGGUUAAGUACCUUGCCUAAGUUCAGACAGUAAGUGGCGAGGCUGGAUCAAACCAGGCCAACCUCAGAACCAAUGGUCUGGCCACUAGGCUAGAAUAUUCAGUGAUACGUUCAAGGGCAGGUCCUCACUCCGGAUAAGGUAAUACUGAGUUACUCCUUUAAAUCCAGAAGCCUCUGGAAGGCUUAAAUGAUGGAUUACUGUAUCUAAAUAAUUUACUCCACUUUCUCCCCACCCCUUAUCUGUUUUUUUUCUAUUGAGGUCCUUAGGUUUAAUUUUUUUUUUUUUUUAAACUAAAAGCCAUCUGUUCUCUGUUCCUUGCAGUAGGAAACAUAAAGCUUCAAGAGGGCCAUACAACCAUACAUGUUUGAAAUUCCUUGUCGAUAUAACAUGCUGAAUUCAUCCAAUGGUACAUUGUGACCUCAGGGACUCUUGUGGCUGGAAUUUUUCUUUUUUAAUCAAAAUAGUAAGAACAUUUGAAUACUUUCCGGUGAAGGUGUCCCUGUAAACUAAGAAUUAGGAAUACUCUUUAUCCAAGUAGGAAAUAAAUAGUCCCACUUAUAGAAUUUAUUGUCUAUAUAAAAAAAUAUUACUUAGAAAUAUAGGUAAAAAAUUAAUUAGGAGAUUUUAUGUGGGUGAGUUAUAACGUUGUCCCCAGAGUGGGUCCAGAAGAUAGUCCCUUAGGAAGGUUCUAUUUCUUCUAUUAGAAUUUCUACUUUUAUUCUUUCUUUUUUGUUUAUUAUUUUUUAGUUUCUAUUUUUGUAUAUAUUUUAUAAUGUAUAAUAUAUACUUAUAUGCAAUCAUGUAUUAUUAUGUACAUUAUAAUAUAUUCAAAUAUAUCCAUAUAUUUUUAUUAUAUAUACGUGUGUGUGUGUGUGUGUGUGUGU